RNAcentral lists this ribosomal RNA (253 nucleotides) under uncultured bacterium. RNAcentral describes it as "partial 16S ribosomal RNA". It matches the Rfam family "Bacterial small subunit ribosomal RNA", at positions 338 to 608 of the family's 1533-position model. The record is from RNAcentral.
CCUACGGGGGGCAGCAGUCGGGAAUAUUGCGCAAUGGAGGAAACUCUGACGCAGUGACGCCGCGUAUAGGAAGAAGGUUUUCGGAUUGUAAACUAUUGUCGUGAGGGAAGAAGAUGACAGUACCUCAGGAGGAAGCUCCGGCUAACUAUGUGCCAGCAGCCGCGGUAAUACAUAGGUGGCAAGCGUUGUCCGGAUUUAUUGGGCGUAAAGCGAGUGCAGGCGGUUCAAUAAGUCUGAUGUGAAAACCUUCGGC